GACAGAGGCCUCGAGCGUUAGGCGGAAUCACUGGGCUUAAAGCGUGUGUAGGCGGAUCGUUAAGUGUCUUGUGAAAUCCCACGGCUCACCCGUGGAACUGCUGGGCAUACUGGCGAUCUUGGGCCAACUAGGGGCAGCCGGAACGAGCAGUGUAGCGGUGAAAUGCGUAGAUAUUGCUCGGAAGGCCAGAGCCGAAGGGGCCCUACUGGUGCGCAACUGACACUGAGGCACGAAAGCGUGGGGAGCAAACAGG
This 253-nucleotide ribosomal RNA is filed under the name uncultured bacterium. Its description in RNAcentral is "partial 16S ribosomal RNA". It matches the Rfam family "Bacterial small subunit ribosomal RNA", at positions 524 to 776 of the family's 1533-position model. The record is from RNAcentral.